UCCGGGUAUGGUGGUGCAUACCUGUAAUCCCAGCACUUUGGGAGGCCAAGGUGGUUGGAUCUCUUAAGACCAGGAGUUCAAGACCAGCCUGAGCAACGUGGUGAAACCUCGUCUCUACCAAAAAUACAANNNNNNNNNNUUGUAUUUUUGGUAGAGACGAGGUUUCACCACGUUGCUCAGGCUGGUCUUGAACUCCUGGUCUUAAGAGAUCCAACCACCUU
This is a non-coding RNA of Chlorocebus sabaeus (green monkey), 221 nucleotides long. It matches the Rfam family "Metazoan signal recognition particle RNA". Rfam says of the family: The signal recognition particle (SRP) is a universally conserved ribonucleoprotein. It is involved in the co-translational targeting of proteins to membranes. Lineage: Eukaryota; Metazoa; Chordata; Mammalia; Primates; Cercopithecidae. The record is from Rfam.